CUUCGUCUAGUAUAAGUUAGUAUGGUUGUUUUCCAAACAACAGGUUAGGAAUUAGAUGAAGU
This 62-nucleotide transfer RNA is filed under the name Lepidodermella squamata. RNAcentral's name for it is "tRNA-Gly". The record is from RNAcentral. Lineage: Eukaryota; Metazoa; Gastrotricha; Chaetonotida; Chaetonotidae.